This 483-nucleotide ribosomal RNA is filed under the name uncultured bacterium. RNAcentral's name for it is "partial 16S ribosomal RNA". It matches the Rfam family "Bacterial small subunit ribosomal RNA", at positions 28 to 507 of the family's 1533-position model. The record is from RNAcentral.
GACGAACGCUGGCGGCGUGCCUAACACAUGCAAGUCGAGCGGGGAUUUAAGUGGAAGUUCUUCGGAAUGGAGAUUUAAAUUCUAGCGGCGGACGGGUGAGUAACGCGUGAACAAUCUGUCCCGGACAGGGGGAUAACACUUGGAAACAGGUGCUAAUACCGCAUAAGACCACGGCCUCGCAUGGGGCUGAGGUAAAAGGAGCAAUCCGGUUCGGGGUGAGUUCGCGUCCGAUUAGCUAGUUGGUGAGGUAACGGCCCACCAAGGCGACGAUCGGUAGCCGGCCCGAGAGGGUGAACGGCCACAUUGGAACUGAGAGACGGUCCAAACUCCUACGGGAGGCAGCAGUGGGGAAUAGUGGGCAAUGGGCGAAAGCCUGACCCAGCAACGCCGCGUGAGGGAAGAAGGUUUUCGGAUUGUAAACCUCUGUCCUAUGGGACGAAGGAAGUGACGGUACCAUAGGAGGAAGCCCCGGCUAACUACGUG